UGUUGGUAUUAACAAAAUUCCCUAAAUGAUAUCAUUUUGAUUUCUAUAGAUUAGCAACACUGUUCAAGUAGUAAGUCUGUAGUUUACAUCAUACAUUUGACAUAUUGUGACAUGUAAUAAUAAUAAAUAUUGUAUAAUUAUAAAACAUUGAAAUGAUUUUGGCUUGUCUCACUCGAUAUAUGAAUAUCAUUCAAGAUCAUGACAUAUACAGUUCUUCCCACUAGAAUUAAUGUAAUAAAAUUACCAUCAUUGCAAUAAACAAAUAUGUAUAUCAGAUAAGUAUAAGCUAAUAUUUACAUAAAAUAGAGAAUACAAUAUCUAUGUGCUGUUUGUAAUUGCAGAUGUUGAACCGAUUCUUUCUUGUUAUUAAUAUUUUUUCAGCUGACCAGUUAUCUACGUACUUGCAAAAUAUUAAUAAGAAUUGAGAUCCGAUUCUUAAAGGAGACAACUGUAGCAAAAUAAAAAAUAAAAAACAUUUUGUGAAUGAAAGACGGAAGAACCAUAUAUGAGAAGUCAAGGAAUUGCAAGAAAAAUCUUCCAUACAAGACAAGGAAAGUAAAAGAAGAAUAGGAAGAACAUUUUUAUCAAUUUAUUUCUUUUCCUAUCCAUUCUGACAAUUCAUGUAGGAUUAAUAGAAUAUCUAAAUCUUCAUUGUUAUUAAUUUUUUGCCAAAUAUUUUGCAAAUUUUGCUCUUUUUUCUUUAAAAUAUUGCUUUUGUGUCUUGUCCAAAAUGUUGGAUGUUUUAGCAUGCUAUGGAUGCUUUUUUGAUGUUCUGAUAAAUUUGCUGUAAAUAAUAUAGAAUUGUUAAAAUAGUAAAAAUAUUCUGGGAGUAAUUGCAAUAAAGUGUUUAUAAUAUACCUAAAAAUGUGGCAAUUGUGGAGUGCUUGUUAAGAUUUUUUUUGAGUUCUCUAUUGUGUCGCUCUGAUAUAUUAUUUGUCCUAUGCAAUUCUUUAUAGACACAAAACGAUUCAGGUUUAAAACCAUUAAUCCAUGUUUUUUCAUAAUAUUGAAAGAAUGGCUUUAAAUAAUCAUUAUUAUUAAAAAUAAUUUUGGUUAUAAUAUUAUAGCUUUCUUCUAUAAAUUCUUUGGGCAACAAGGCUAAGGAUAUUUCUUGCAAUUUCUUGACUUCUUAUGGUUCUUCCAUCUUUCAUUCACAAAAUGUUUUUGAUUUUGCUACAGUUGUUCCUUUAAGAAUUGAAUCUCAAUUCUAAUUAAUAUUCUGCAAGUGCGUGGAUAACUGGGAAGCUAAAAAAAAAA
Molecule: long non-coding RNA, 1257 nt
Organism: Monomorium pharaonis (pharaoh ant)
Lineage: Eukaryota; Metazoa; Arthropoda; Insecta; Hymenoptera; Formicidae
Exons: 2
Source: RefSeq, a predicted model, not a curated record